AACGAACGCUGGCGGCAUGCCUAACACAUGCAAGUCGAACGAGACCGUCGGGUCUAGUGGCGCACGGGUGCGUAACGCGUGGGAACCUGCCCGUAGGAUCGGAAUAACUCCCCGAAAGGGGGGCUAAUACCGGAGAAUGUUAUCGGACAAAAGAUUUAUGGCCUUUGGAUGGGCCCGGGUUGGAUUAGCUAGUUGGUAGGGUAAAAGCCUACCAAGGCGACGAUCCAUAGCUGGUCUGAGAGGAUGAGCAGCCACGCUGGGACUGAGACACGGCCCAGACUCCUACGGGGGGCGGCAGUGGGGAAUAUUGGACACUGGGCGAUAGCCUGAUCCAGCCAUGCCGCGUGAGUGAUGAAGGCCUUAGGAUUGUAAAGCUCUUUUACCCGGGAUGAUAAUGACAGUACCGGCAGAAUAAGCUCCGGCUAACUCCGUG
Molecule: ribosomal RNA, 433 nt
Filed under: uncultured bacterium
Lineage: Bacteria
Description: partial 16S ribosomal RNA
Rfam family: Bacterial small subunit ribosomal RNA
Source: RNAcentral